RNA transcript from Ipomoea nil (Japanese morning glory), 3544 nucleotides. It is a transcript of the gene named cyclin-T1-3-like, with no coding region annotated. The transcript is spliced from 9 exons. The record is from RefSeq and is a predicted model, not a curated record. Lineage: Eukaryota; Viridiplantae; Streptophyta; Magnoliopsida; Solanales; Convolvulaceae.
GAUUUAUUUUCCCUCUAAGAUAAGAAAUCGCCACUUCCCUAGAGCUUUUCUCUCUCGAUCAAACUAAAAACCCUAUCUAAAUUCUAAAGAUUUAAUUCAAACCUCCUCUUUUCUGCCUCUGCAGGAUUCGUUGAUUGAGACAGCGUGUGUUGAUCUAUAUCUUCUGCAAAUCAAGUAUCAUGGCUCUUGCUCAGAAUUACCAAACACAAACUGGCCCUUUUCGCAGUUAUGGUAGAAACCAUCUAACUAGCCACAGUUAUACUCCUGCUGCAACCAAUUCCUCCAACUACAGUCAGUACCUCGAUAGCAGUUUUAGGCAUCUAGGAAACCAAGAUAUCUCAAAUGACUUACUUAAAGAUUUUAGGGAGUAUAACUACAAUUAUGAUAGCUAUGUGAAGCCUGAGGUUGAACCUUCUUCAAAGCGAAGAAAGUUUUCAUCUUCUUCAUGGGGAAAUAAUGGGUGGUACAGUCAGCAAACGAAUGCUUGUACUAUGCUUCCACCAGGACAACAAAGUACACAUAAUAAUGCGCUCCCCAGGAAUCAGAGUGUGUUUGAUAACAUCAGCUCAGGCCAGAAUAAUAAUUCAGCCAUUACUACAACUGUUAAUACUAGUAAUGUGCCUUAUUCCAAUGGGUAUACUUCUGCUUCCUUCAAGUGUAAUCAGUCAGAGUUUGAAGGUGACAACAAUGAUGUGGCCUUUAUGUCUAGAGAGGAAAUUGAGAGAUGCUCACCAUCUAGGAAAGAUGGUAUUGAUGUGGUGCUUGAAAUGCAUUUGCGAUAUUCAUAUUGCGCUUUUCUUCAGAGCCUUGGAAUUCGGUUGGAGCUGCCACAAACAACCAUUGGGACUGCCAUGGUUUUGUGCCACCGUUUCUUUGUUCGUAGGUCUCAUGCUUGUCAUGAUAGAUUUUUGAUUGCUACUGCUGCUCUCUUCCUAGCUGCAAAGUCAGAAGAGACACCAUGCCUUCUCAACAAUAUUCUAAGAGCAUCAUGUGAAAUUUUCCACAAGCAGGACUUUUCUUAUUUGUCAUAUCUGCUUCCUGCUGAGUGGUUUGAGCAAUACCGAGAACGGAUUAUUGAGGCUGAGCAAAUGAUAUUGACAACUUUAAAUUUUGAACUCAAUGUGCUGCAUCCAUAUGCUCCUCUUACAUCUACUCUUGAGAAAUUAGGCUUUUCUCAAUCGGUUUUGGUGAAUAUGGCAUUAAACUUGAUCAGUGAAGGGAUUUAUAGAAGGAUUAUCAUGCUCUCACACUGUAUGCUAUUGUUAGCCGGAGGUUGAUUCACCAAAUGUUUUGUUUUUCGUCUGAAGUUAACUAGCCUUUUCCUGUGGAUGAUUUUUCAGUGAUGACAACUUAGUAUCAUGUCAUUGGCCCAAUAGAAGAUAGUCAGAUGCUCCCGAAGCAAUUUUUGCUAUGGCACUUUCUGUUUUUUCACUUUAGAUGGAUGAAUCCAUGCUGAAACUAUAUACCUAUUUGUUUGGUGUCCAUAUAGGCCAUUAAACCUGAAAAAAGGUGUUUGGUGAGUAUUUUGCUUGAAAAUUUUGGGGCACCUUUAGUGGGCAGCCUUGUCCUGGACUCCAGGGUAUGGUUAGAUGGGAUUAUAUUCUUAAUAUAUCUUCUGGGCCAUAUCUUUUCUCUCAAGUCUCAACUUUACAUGUUGCCCACUUGUCCAUAAGCGGCAUGAAACAACUUUACAUCCUGUGUUUUUUAAAUUUAUUUUUAUUUUAUUUUACAUUUUUUGAGGUGGGGGUGUACCAAAACGCACAAUUUUAUACCCAGUUUUCUGUCAACAAUCAGCUCCCAUCCUUUUGUUUUUAUUUUAUAUUUGGAGAGAUGUUGGGAGGAUAUGGCAGAAGGUUGGAAGUGAAAAUGUUAAUUUAGUUUGUUUUUGAGAUUUGAGGUGAUCUUUGGAACGAUAGUGAUUCUUCAAGAUGUAAUUCAUUGAUGCUGCAUUUUAUUUUUGAAGAUCAUGAUUUGUUUACUUGAUGUCUGGUUCUUCUAACAAGUGUGAAUACAACAAGGCUAAGGAAUUCAUUAAAAAUUUAUUGGUGAUGAAUGAUGAGUUGAUGCUUUCCUUUUCCUGAAAUGCUAUCAGAUCAUAAAUUGGGCCUUCUCUCCUGUCCUACUCUAACAUUCUUAGUCCACAAUCAGUUGCCAUUGUUUCUUGUUGGGCAGUUCUCCAAUUCCUUGGUUAUUUCAAAUUCUUAGUCUUCUGUCUCACCAAAAACAAUGCAAGGCUUCCCUUGUUCUUCUUACCCUCUUUACUUCUGGAAUGUAUAAAUCCUCCACCACCUGCUCAAUGGAUUUAAAGAAACAGAAAACACAGAGUCCUCUUUAUAUGAUUGUUAAGAUUGUCUACUGUCUACGUCCUAGCAAAUUUGGGAGACAAUACAUCUUGCAAUGUAUCUGUUUUGAUGUCAAAAAGCAGAUUUGCAAUAUGGUUUAAACUCAUAACUCACAAUCCAUUGAGGAUUCAUAUUCUGGCUCAGCCGCUCAGGUGUAGGUGUACUGGCUGUCUGGCAGGCUUUUGAUACUCUGGAUGCUUGAGAAUGCUCGACUGUAAAUAGUCAUCUUUUUUCUGGGUCAUGAUAAGUUAUGUGAUUGCCAAAUUUUGAUCAACUAUUACAGUGUGGCUUUGGCCUUUGGCCUUUGGGUGGGAAUAUGCUCCUAGUUCAAUAGGCUUGUGACUGGCCUCCUGUGUCUUAGAUGAAUUAGGAUUCGUCAAGCAAGUAUUUUUCAGAGGUGUAGAGUAUAUUGUAAUUGGCAGGUUUUUUUUUACUUUGCACUGUAGUCUGCAUUGUAAACUUUGGUUAUAUGAGCAGUACUCCAAAUAUUCGUGUACAUUUGAAUGAAGGUAUUGCAAGUUGGGAUGUUCUCGGGCUGGUCAAUGUACCCUCUUUGCUUCUAUUCUUGAAAUGUGUAUAUCUGUGGUUGAUAUACUGCUGCAAUGGAGUGGAAACUCAAGAGUUGAUGCUCUCUCUCUCUCUCUCUCUCUCUCUCUUCAUGUUUAUAACAUGUUUGCUAGAUUUUUGGUACUAUACCUACAUUCUACAGAAGAUUCUUGGGUUUAUCCAACUCGGUUGCCUCAUUUUUAGUUGACAUGAACUCAAAUGCAAGUGCCCUACUGUUUCUCCAAAUGCUCCGAAGCUCAUUGUGGCUUCAAUUCAAGCCUAAUCAGAUUGCAGCUGGUGCAGCAUACCUUGCUGCAAAACUUUUAAACAUGAAUUUGGCUUCAAAUAAUAUCAUUUGGCAGGAGUUCCAAACACCACCAAAUGUGCUUAGAGAUGUUGCUCGACAAUUGAUGGAGCUCUUGUAGAAGAAAGAAGACAGUGAAAUCCAGAUAGCAAGAAACGAGGGCCUGGUUUCUGUUACACCCAAUACUGGUUUUUAUUUGUUCCAACAAGUAGAUUAGUAGUAGCCUUGUUCGGGUAUGAUUUGGUAUAAAUCAUCCCGUACUUAAGGUUUUAGCUGUACAUAGUUUUGCCUAAUUUUGAGGUUGUUAGAAAGAAUGGAGAUAAAUGAAAUUUCUUUAAUUCUUGUGUUUGUA